Long non-coding RNA from Prionailurus viverrinus (fishing cat), 811 nucleotides. RefSeq lists it as uncharacterized. The transcript has 3 exons. The record is from RefSeq and is a predicted model, not a curated record. NCBI's taxonomy places the organism in Eukaryota, Metazoa, Chordata, Mammalia, Carnivora, Felidae.
CUCAAACAAGCCUAUAAAACCAAAGGGUUGCCCCAACUAAAAGCUUCGUCGAGGAAUAAUUGACGUACGUCACUGCAAAGCUUAAAGAGCACGGCAUGAUGGUUCGGUUUAUGGAUACUGUGAAAUGAUUACCACAGGAGGCCCAGGAGGGAUCAUGGUCAUCACACUCCAGAUUAAAAGCAAUCCAUCAUAAUUUCUGUCGGAAACGAAAAUUUAAAUAUGUCCCUUUGUACACCUAGUCUCCUGGCCUCACCGUCCGUCCUCAUCGCCAUGGGUUAAACCUGACUUGAGUAUCACACACCAGACUCCAGACCAAGGACUGUGUGAUGAGAGCUCAUCUGUCCUUUGCCAAGAUUCUAAUGUUCCACUCUAGACAAUCUGGGCUCCUGGCUCCCGAAACUGCUUCUUCUGUGGCCAGGCCUUGAGGCCCCAGGAUCUGCCCACAUUCCAGAGAGGGUUAGGGUUUCUCAUUAAUCUCUGUCUGGACCCUGUCCUCAGAUUAGCAGCCACUGAAAUGCAAUCCCUGUAAUGAGAAAUGAACAGCCUGACCCAUGUUGUUUCUCUGAGACCCGUUGUCUCCAACUUCUCACCUCUCCCAGGCACAGCACGUUGACUGAAAGAAGCCAUUACAGUGUUCUCACUGCCGAGCGAUCGCCCAUCACUCCAGAAAGUGUGCGAAGGAGUCCUUCCUUCACAGCUUGACAUCUCUGCCCACAUUUGGCACGAACAGAGGAAGCCUCCCAGGGUAGAGAAAGGGGAUGCACUUAGGUUCUAGAGAGCAGAGUUGACACUCUUUCCCAGAAUGAAAAUA